CCAUAAAGUUAAUAUUCCUUCGGAAUAGAGCAACAAAGAAUGAGCGAGCGAGAUGUCACUAUCUGCAACCCUGUGUGAUAAAAAGAGAUGUGUGAUGCUAUCAUCGUCACGUCAAUAGAACCAUUUUUGCAAAAGAUUUGACAGGCAGUGACACAUAGAGGCACAAAGCAGAAUUUCAAAUCACAGUUUUUUCUAAAAAUUUCGUAAAAUCCUGUAUAGUUUUGGAAUUUUUUUAUUGUAAUACAAUGGUGACCUGUUCCGUCCUUGAUUGUGAUAUAAACCAGAGAAAUAAUCCCGCAAAAUAUUCAUUUCACAGAUUUCCGACUAACGAAGAUGUAAGAAAAACAUGGCUCAAAUUAAUUAAUCGUCCAAAUUGGAUUCCAACUAAAUAUGCCACUUUAUGUAGCAAACAUUUUGAUAGUAAAUGUUUUCGAAAAAUUGGAGCCAGAAUCACGUUGAAAAAAUGUGCAAUCCCUACAGAGUUUGUUCCGAUGAAAGUAAAGCCUACACGCACAAUGUCGUCGUACGUGAACAGAGAUAUUUUACCAGAGGGAUCUACAUUAUCGUCUAGAUCUCCGCCGCCGACACCACAGCUUCAGCCCAC
Molecule: long non-coding RNA, 604 nt
Organism: Ostrinia nubilalis (European corn borer)
Lineage: Eukaryota; Metazoa; Arthropoda; Insecta; Lepidoptera; Crambidae
Exons: 3
Source: RefSeq, a predicted model, not a curated record